GACGAACGCUGGCGGCGUGCCUAAUACAUGCAAGUUGAGCGAUGAAGAUUGGUGCUUGCACCAAUUUGAAGAGCAGCGAACGGGUGAGUAACGCGUGGGGAAUCUGCCUUUGAGCGGGGGACAACAUUUGGAAACGAAUGCUAAUACCGCAUAACAACUUUAAACAUAAGUUUUAAGUUUGAAAGAUGCAAUUGCAUCACUCAAAGAUGAUCCCGCGUUUUAUUAGCUAGUUGGUGAGGUAAAGGCUCACCAGGGCGAUGAUACAUAGCCGACCUGAGAGGGUGAUCGGCCACAAUGGGACUGAGACACGGCCCAAACUCCUACGGGAGGCAGCAGUAGGGAAUCUUCGGCAAUGGACGAAAGUCUGACCGAGCAACGCCGCGUGAGUGAAGAAGGUUUUCGGAUCGUAAAACUCUGUUGGUAGAGAAGAACGUUGGUGAGAGUGGAAAGCUCAUCAAGUGACGGUAACUACCCAGAAAGGGACGGCUAACUACGUG
Molecule: ribosomal RNA, 497 nt
Filed under: uncultured bacterium
Lineage: Bacteria
Description: partial 16S ribosomal RNA
Rfam family: Bacterial small subunit ribosomal RNA
Source: RNAcentral